Molecule: ribosomal RNA, 120 nt
Filed under: Scophthalmus maximus (turbot)
Lineage: Eukaryota; Metazoa; Chordata; Actinopteri; Pleuronectiformes; Scophthalmidae
Source: RNAcentral
GCGACGGCCACACCGCCUGGAUUCACGCCCCGAUCUCGUUUGAUCUCGGAAGCUAAGGUAGGUUGGGCCUGGUUAGUACUUGGAUGGGAGACCGCCUGGGAAUACCAGGUGCUGUAAGCU